GAUGAACGCUAGCGACAGGCUUAACACAUGCAAGUCGAGGGGCAGCACAGGUAGCAAUACCGGGUGGCGACCGGCGCACGGGUGAGUAACGCGUAUGCAACUUACCUAUCAGAGGGGGAUAACCCGGCGAAAGUCGGACUAAUACCGCAUGAAGCAGGGGUCCCGCAUGGGGAUAUUUGCUAAAGAUUCAUCGCUGAUAGAUAGGCAUGCGUUCCAUUAGGCAGUUGGCGGGGUAACGGCCCACCAAACCGACGAUGGAUAGGGGUUCUGAGAGGAAGGUCCCCCACAUUGGUACUGAGACACGGACCAAACUGCUACGGGAGGCAGCAGUGAGGAAUAUUGGUCAAUGGCCGAGAGGCUGAACCAGCCAAGUCGCGUGAGGGAUGAAGGUUCUAUGGAUCGUAAACCUCUUUUAUAAGGGAAUAAAGUGCGGGACGUGUCCCGUUUUGUAUGUACCUUAUGAAUAAGGAUCGGCUAACUCCGUG
RNAcentral lists this ribosomal RNA (485 nucleotides) under uncultured bacterium. Its description in RNAcentral is "partial 16S ribosomal RNA". It matches the Rfam family "Bacterial small subunit ribosomal RNA", at positions 28 to 507 of the family's 1533-position model. The record is from RNAcentral.